CCUACGGGGGGCAGCAGUGGGGAAUAUUGCACAAUAGGCGCAAGCCUGAUGCAGCCAUGCCGCGUGUGUGAAGAAGGCCUUCGGGUUGUAAAGCACUUUCAGCGGGGAGGAAGGCGUUAAGGUUAAUAACCUUGGCGAUUAACGUUACCCGCAGAAGAAGCACCGGCUAACUCCGUGCCAGCAGCCGCGGUAAUACGGAGGGUGCAAGCGUUAAUCGGAAUUACUGGGCGUAAAGCGCACGCAGGCGGUCUGUCAAGUCGGAUGUGAAAUCCCCGGGCUCAACCUGGGAACUGCAUUCGAAACUGGCAGGUUAGAGUCUUGUAGAGGGGGGUAGAAUUCCAGGUGUAGCGGUGAAAUGCGUAGAGAUCGGGAGGAAUACCGGUGGCGAAGGCGGCCCCCUGGACAAAGACUGACGCUCAGGUGCGAAAGCGUGGGGAGCAAACAGGAGUAGAUACCCUGGUAGUC
Molecule: ribosomal RNA, 465 nt
Filed under: uncultured Klebsiella sp.
Lineage: Bacteria; Pseudomonadati; Pseudomonadota; Gammaproteobacteria; Enterobacterales; Enterobacteriaceae
Description: bacterial SSU rRNA
Rfam family: Bacterial small subunit ribosomal RNA
Source: RNAcentral